Molecule: ribosomal RNA, 164 nt
Filed under: Melicytus ramiflorus
Lineage: Eukaryota; Viridiplantae; Streptophyta; Magnoliopsida; Malpighiales; Violaceae
Also listed under: 4 other names
Description: 5.8S ribosomal RNA
Rfam family: 5.8S ribosomal RNA
About the family: 5.8S ribosomal RNA (5.8S rRNA) is a component of the large subunit of the eukaryotic ribosome. It is transcribed by RNA polymerase I as part of the 45S precursor that also contains 18S and 28S rRNA.
Source: RNAcentral
AAAACGACUCUCGGCAACGGAUAUCUCGGCUCUCGCAUCGAUGAAGAACGUAGCGAAAUGCGAUACUUGGUGUGAAUUGCAGAAUCCCGUGAACCAUCGAGUCUUUGAACGCAAGUUGCGCCCGAAGCCUUUUGGCCGAGGGCACGUCUGCCUGGGUGUCACGC